CCUACGGGAGGCAGCAGUGGGGAAUUUUGGACAAUGGGGGAAACCCUGAUCCAGCAAUGCCGCGUGUGUGAAGAAGGCCUUCGGGUUGUAAAGCACUUUUAUUCGGAGAGAAAUCCCUUGGGCUAAUACCCUGAGGGUCUGACGGUACCGGAUGAAUAAGCGCCGGCUAACUACGUGCCAGCAGCCGCGGUAAUACGUAGGGCGCGAGCGUUAAUCGGAAUUACUGGGCGUAAAGCGUGCGCAGGCGGUUUUGUAAGACAGAUGUGAAAGCCCCGGGCUCAACCUGGGAAUUGCAUUUGUGACUGCAAGGCUAGAGUGUGUCAGAGGGAGGUGGAAUUCCGCGUGUAGCAGUGAAAUGCGUAGAGAUGCGGAGGAACACCGAUGGCGAAGGCAGCCUCCUGGGAUAACACUGACGCUCAUGCACGAAAGCGUGGGGAGCAAACAGGAUUAGAUACCCUGGUAGUCCACGCCCUAAACGAUGUCAACUAGUUGUCGGGAAUUAAAUUUCUUGGUAACGCAGCUAACGCGUGAAGUUGACCGCCUGGGGAUACGGCCGNAAGGUUAAAACUUAAAGGGAAUUGACGG
This 585-nucleotide ribosomal RNA is filed under the name uncultured bacterium. Its description in RNAcentral is "bacterial SSU rRNA". It matches the Rfam family "Bacterial small subunit ribosomal RNA", at positions 338 to 916 of the family's 1533-position model. The record is from RNAcentral.